This 1342-nucleotide ribosomal RNA is filed under the name uncultured bacterium. RNAcentral's name for it is "16S ribosomal RNA". It matches the Rfam family "Bacterial small subunit ribosomal RNA", at positions 28 to 1378 of the family's 1533-position model. The record is from RNAcentral.
GACGAACGCUGGCGGCGUGCUUAACACAUGCAAGUCGAACGGAAAGGCCCUGCUUUUGUGGGGUGCUCGAGUGGCGAACGGGUGAGUAACACGUGAGUAACCUGCCCUUGACUUUGGGAUAACUUCAGGAAACUGGGGCUAAUACCGGAUAGGAGCUCCUGCUGCAUGGUGGGGGUUGGAAAGUUUCGGCGGUUGGGGAUGGACUCGCGGCUUAUCAGCUUGUUGGUGGGGUAGUGGCUUACCAAGGCUUUGACGGGUAGCCGGCCUGAGAGGGUGACCGGCCACAUUGGGACUGAGAUACGGCCCAGACUCCUACGGGAGGCAGCAGUGGGGAAUAUUGCACAAUGGGCGGAAGCCUGAUGCAGCAACGCCGCGUGCGGGAUGACGGCCUUCGGGUUGUAAACCGCUUUCGCCCGUGACGAAGCGUGAGUGACGGUAAUGGGUAAAGAAGCACCGGCUAACUACGUGCCAGCAGCCGCGGUGAUACGUAGGGUGCGAGCGUUGUCCGGAUUUAUUGGGCGUAAAGGGCUCGUAGGUGGUUGAUCGCGUCGGAAGUGUAAUCUUGGGGCUUAACCCUGAGCGUGCUUUCGAUACGGGUUGACUUGAGGAAGGUAGGGGAGAAUGGAAUUCCUGGUGGAGCGGUGGAAUGCGCAGAUAUCAGGAGGAACACCAGUGGCGAAGGCGGUUCUCUGGGCCUUUCCUGACGCUGAGGAGCGAAAGCGUGGGAGCGAACAGGCUUAGAUACCCUGGUAGUCCACGCUGUAAACGGUGGGUACUAGGUGUGGGGUCCAUUCCACGGGUUCCGUGCCGUAGCUAACGCUUUAAGUACCCCGCCUGGGGAGUACGGCCGCAAGGCUAAAACUCAAAGGAAUUGACGGGGCCCCGCACAAGCGGCGGAGCAUGCGGAUUAAUUCGAUGCAACGCGUAGAACCUUACCUGGGUUUGACAUGGAUCGGGAGUGCUCAGAGAUGGGUGUGCCUCUUUUGGGGUCGGUUCACAGGUGGUGCAUGGCUGUCGUCAGCUCGUGUCGUGAGAUGUUGGGUUAAGUCCCGCAACGAGCGCAACCCUUGUUCACUGUUGCCAGCACGUUAUGGUGGGGACUCAGUGGAGACCGCCGGGGUCAACUCGGAGGAAGGUGGGGAUGACGUCAAGUCAUCAUGCCCCUUAUGUCCAGGGCUUCACGCAUGCUACAAUGGCUGGUACAGAGAGUGGCGAGCCUGUGAGGGUGAGCGAAUCUCGGAAAGCCGGUCUCAGUUCGGAUUGGGGUCUGCAACUCGACCUCAUGAAGUCGGAGUCGCUAGUAAUCGCAGAUCAGCAACGCUGCGGUGAAUACGUUCCCGGG